RNAcentral lists this ribosomal RNA (348 nucleotides) under uncultured bacterium. Its description in RNAcentral is "bacterial SSU rRNA". It matches the Rfam family "Bacterial small subunit ribosomal RNA", at positions 29 to 358 of the family's 1533-position model. The record is from RNAcentral.
AACGAACGCUGGCGGCGUGCCUAACACAUGCAAGUCGUGCGAGAAAGCCUCCUUCGGGGGGUUAGUAAAGCGGCGCACGGGUGAGUAACACGUGGGCAACCUGCCCUUGAGACUGGGACAACCCAGGGAAACCCGGGCUAAUACCAGAUACGGCCUUGGGAUCUUCGGAUCCCUUGGAGAAAUGAUGGCCUCUGCUUGCAAGCCAUCGCUCGAGGAUGGGCCCGCGGCCCAUUAGCAGUUGGUGAGGUAACGGCUCACCAAGGCAAUGAUGGGUAGCUGGUCUGAGAGGAUGAUCAGCCACACUGGGACUGAGACACGGCCCAGACUCCUACGGGAGGCAGCAGUGGG